Molecule: long non-coding RNA, 517 nt
Organism: Hydra vulgaris (swiftwater hydra)
Lineage: Eukaryota; Metazoa; Cnidaria; Hydrozoa; Anthoathecata; Hydridae
Source: RefSeq, a predicted model, not a curated record
GUUUUUUUCGGCCAAAUUCUGUGCCACGUUUUUUUUGCGUUAGUGAUAUGCUAUCGUGACUAGUGGUCUUAUUUUUUAGAAUUUGAUAUCAACAUAUAUAUUAUUUAAAAAGUAGAAUAGCUGAACUUUUUUAUGUAUUUACCAACUUCAUUGUCAACAUCUCUGACACCUGGUGCCAACAAUUCUGAAGAAAACCUCGAAAGUUAGUCAAGGAGUGAUUUUCUUAUAUGGUGCCGAAGCCAACCUGGGCCUAAAUCAAAUCGGACUUUUAGUAUAUGUGGUAAAUAUGGAGGCAAAGACUUGCCUCAAUUUAAAUUUCAGCCUCCUGGUGGCAGAAGGGACGGCAGAAGAGGCAGGUGAACAAACCGUCUUAACCACUACACAUGCACUUAUUAAUAUGUGUAUGUAGAUACACUUAUAGAUGUAUCUAGAUACACCUAAUGGUAGGUAUAUAUAAAGUGUGUAUAUAUAUAGUUUUUUUAGUUUAUAUCUGUAUAUAUAUAUAUAUAUUUUAGUU